GGGUUGUGAGGUUAAGCGACUAAGCGUACACGGUGGAUGCCCUGGCAGUCAGAGGCGAUGAAGGGCGUGCUAAUCUGCGAUAAGCGCCGGUAAGGUGAUAUGAACCGUUAUAACCGGCGAUACCCGAAUGGGGAAACCCAGUGUGAUUCGUCACACUAUCAUUAACUGAAUCCAUAGGUUAAUGAGGCGAACCGGGGGAACUGAAACAUCUAAGUACCCCGAGGAAAAGAAAUCAACCGAGAUUCCCCCAGUAGCGGCGAGCGAACGGGGAGGAGCCCAGAGCCUGAAUCAGCAUGUGUGUUAGUGGAAGCGUCUGGAAAGGCGCGCGAUACAGGGUGACAGCCCCGUACACAAAAGCGCAUGUGCUGUGAGCUCGAUGAGUAGGGCGGGACACGUGGUAUCCUGUCUGAAUAUGGGGGGACCAUCCUCCAAGGCUAAAUACUCCUGACUGACCGAUAGUGAACCAGUACCGUGAGGGAAAGGCGAAAAGAACCCCGGCGAGGGGAGUGAAAAAGAACCUGAAACCGUGUACGUACAAGCAGUGGGAGCACCCUUCGGGGUGUGACUGCGUACCUUUUGUAUAAUGGG
This 588-nucleotide ribosomal RNA is filed under the name Salmonella enterica subsp. enterica serovar Typhimurium. Its description in RNAcentral is "partial 23S ribosomal RNA". It matches the Rfam family "Bacterial large subunit ribosomal RNA", at positions 1 to 619 of the family's 2925-position model. The record is from RNAcentral. Lineage: Bacteria; Pseudomonadati; Pseudomonadota; Gammaproteobacteria; Enterobacterales; Enterobacteriaceae.